RNAcentral lists this ribosomal RNA (253 nucleotides) under uncultured bacterium. RNAcentral's name for it is "partial 16S ribosomal RNA". It matches the Rfam family "Bacterial small subunit ribosomal RNA", at positions 524 to 776 of the family's 1533-position model. The record is from RNAcentral.
UACGUAGGGUGCAAGCGUUGUCCGGAAUUAUUGGGCGUAAAGAGCUUGUAGGCGGUUUGUCGCGUCUGCUGUGAAAUUUCGGGGCUCAACCCCGAACUUGCAGUGGGUACGGGCAGACUAGAGUGUGGUAGGGGAGCGUGGAAUUCCUGGUGUAGCGGUGAAAUGCGCAGAUAUCAGGAGGAACACCGAUGGCGAAGGCAGGUCUCUGGGCCAUAACUGACGCUGAGAAGCGAAAGCAUGGGGAGCGAACAGG